ACGGGAGUUUUCUCUCACAUUUCAGUGGAAAGUAGAUCUCACUUUUCAUUUGAAACAUCAUGAUGCUGCAUGACCACUGAGUCUGCUCGUUGCUUUUGGCAGAUAAUUUCUGUUCCUCCUGAAGUGGCAAACAGAUGAGAUGUGAAACAAAGGAGCUGGAGCAGCGCUGCCUCACCAGCACACCCAGUUACAUACAGACAGGACCAUGUUCAGGCUGAGUCCAUGGUCACCUCCACCACAAUCGGCCGUUUCUCUGUGGUUAGCACUGAAGACGACCUCACACAGAGUACACACUUAAGCAGAGCUCAGACUCAAGGCUCCAAUAUGCUUCUACGUAUCCGUUUCUCAGAGAGGUUUGCACGGAGAGCGGAGAGUCUUUUUGAUUUUUACCUCUCCGACGACUGUACGUUGAAAACAAUUCACUGCCAAACCCAUAGGUGGCGCAACGGAAGACGAGCUCAGAGAAGCCUACCCCAUUUCUCGGAAGAAGAAGUCCACGUGUGUUUGUUUACCUCUGUUGGCUGGCCUCCCACACACUGAACCAUGGCAACUAACAGAACUAAAUAAAGUGACACCCAGCGGGUCAAAAUGCUGAUGUUAUCGUUUCUUAGCGCAGCGGUUCCCCGGUCUUGUUUCCGAACUGUGUUGCUGAUUCCACAGCUUGAAUCUGCUUGAGGCUACACGCAGCUAGCUAGCUCCCCCCCAGCUAGCUCCCCCCCAGCUUCCACACAGUCAGCAGGGACUCCCGACACUAACUACUACUAUCCAGUGUUUGCUUUUAACCUGACGGUAUUAUAGAAACAGUGUCAUGAUAGAAGUGGAAUUAAAGUCGUGACGGCGGGUUUUUGCAUCGUUACCACCGCAGUUAGCAUGGUGGCUAGCCCGCUAGCCUAGCACGCUAGCGCCGUUAUGAAAGCUCGUUAUAACCGUAUGUGACCGUGCACACAUGCCGUCAGUACUCUAACGAGCCACCGUCAGCCGGACAACUCCGCUGGCUUAACACACAUGUCACAUUAAUCGUAGAAUCAUAGUUGUGUUUGGGUUUUUGUGACACAGGGAAGGAAUUAGGAAGUUUGAGGUCCGGAAAUGUGAAAUACGGAAAUGACGUCAUACGGAAAUGAUGUAGUUCGCGGACCAAUCACAGCCAAGGUCUGUCCAUUGGGAAGAGAAGAUGAGUGCGUUGGAAAGCAAAGCCGCGGGACCAGUGUGCACGAUUGGAGCGGAAAGACGGGCGCACAAUCCCAAAGUUACGGUAAGUAUUUUCAUAGACCUAACUUUUUGUCCUGUUGUAUUUUAUAGGAAACUCCCCGUCUCUUCACACCUCUGAGGCAAAUGGCUGGUGCCACGAAGCAGAACAAGGCCUGAUCCACACAUGUCAAGCUUCACCUGAUUAGUUUUUCACUGGCUAGGCCAGUUGUGUUUUUGCAAUAUUUAUGAUGUAUGUUAAUAAAGCUUUGAUUCAACAUA
Long non-coding RNA from Limanda limanda (common dab), 1467 nucleotides. RefSeq lists it as uncharacterized. The record is from RefSeq and is a predicted model, not a curated record. The transcript is spliced from 2 exons. NCBI's taxonomy places the organism in Eukaryota, Metazoa, Chordata, Actinopteri, Pleuronectiformes, Pleuronectidae.